Elaeis guineensis (African oil palm) is the source of this 3028-nucleotide non-coding RNA. Lineage: Eukaryota; Viridiplantae; Streptophyta; Magnoliopsida; Arecales; Arecaceae. The record is from RefSeq and is a predicted model, not a curated record.
CUUCCGGUUUGGGUCAUCGGUUCGGUACGGUAUGAAACCAUACCGAACCAUACCACCGGUUGGCCGAAACGACCGGCGGUACCGGUUCAGCAUAUUUAGGUUUGCUCCAAUAACCAUCUUAUUCGGUCAGAAUAGAAAUGUGAAAGCAACUGCUUGUCAAUAUUAUCGCUGUUUGCCAGUAAAUCAUUAAAACAAAUUGAUUGGAUGGUUAAUGGAUUAUAAAUUUUCGCAUGCAUAACUACUGAUUCAGUAUGUUUCAAAAAGAGCCAUGUUGUCGUUUACUUCUAUACCUUAUGAUCAAAGUUUAAUUACUGGUUGUUUAGACAUUACACAAUAAGUUACAUCUUCAUCUAGGUUUAUUCUUAUUGUCUGGACUGAAUGCAGACACUUCUAGAGUAGGAAUCCACACGCUAUGCUUCUACCUGGUCGCCAAUAUCUUAUUCUUUGGUUCUUAUCGACUGAUACCAUAAAGUCACUCUUGCCUUGGUAGUAGCUUUUAGCAUAAUUGUAGUUAAGGAGCUUCAGCUGCAGUCCUGCUCUGAAAUCGUUAUGAGGUUCUUCAUGGUUGUGCAUUUUUGAGUGAUAUUUCACCUUAUACACUGGAACAUGCCAUGUGGUGCAUCAUUCCUUCCCCAUUAUGGGAUCAUUUGUUUGUAUACCCAUGUUAAUUAUUUAUAUCCCAAUCUGUACCUCCCUUUGGAUGCUUCACUAUCUUCUUUGCACUAUUUAAUCCUCUUAUGGCAAGCAUGUUAUGAUCUGCCUUAAUGUUUUUUUUUGUGUCUGUGUCUAAGAGAGGACAGGAUGAAUGAGGGAAUAUUUUUGGGGCUUAAAACCUUGUCCAUGUUUGUGUUCGUGAAUUGUAUUGGACAUAGACCAUGUAUGUACACACUUCGCUUCGUUGUGGUGUCCUGUUAUGAGGUUACAUGGUCCCCAUUUAAAUGUGUAUAUCUGGCCUAUAUUCAAUAUGAUCAUGUAUCAGAUAUGGGCCAUGCAUGUAUACAGUUCACAUCAAUUUGGUAUCCUUUUAUGACGGUAUGGUCCCCCAUUAAAUGUAUAUAUCUGGCUUGUGAAUUUACUGGCACUCUACUCCACUUAAGUCACAUGACAAAAUUCUUGAUGCUGCAUUCGCAGGUGAAAAACACAAAUUGGGAGUAGUGCAAAUAAGGAAAAACUACAAAUUAGCUUGCCUGAGGCCUAUUUUUUCUUUCACUUUAAUAGAUGGACAAACUGCUCCUGCAAGGUCCACUUUUAGAGGAGGCCCUUCCUUGUUAGCUUAUGUAGUGUGGCUGGUACAAGUACUAUGAAUGUGUAAAAGAUCCUUUUUCACCUUUUCCCAUGAAAACCAUACAGAAAGGCAACUGAACCACUCAAUGCAUAAAUCUACUGACUUUAGGACUUCCUCUUGAAUGGAAUUCCUGUCAUUUUAAUUGAUUCUUUGAGAGCAAUUGCAAACCAUUCCAAAGUGUUUAGUUCCAAUAAAAGUUGUUUGUUUUGUAAUGUCACUGACUUUAGUUGUUUGUUCCAAUAGAAGCAUAGCAAAGAUUCUGAAGUCUGACAAAAAAAGGGAAGUCAAAAUAAACGUACUUUCAGGAAUAUGAUUGGGUGUUUUCUUUGUCUGAGUUAUUAUUUUGCACAGAGGGCACAUGAUUCAGGGCUAGGGAUGCUUGUAUUCUUUGUUGAACAGGCAAAUUAUAUAUGGACAUGUGUUGAGUGAAUUGCUCUGUUAUGAUGGGUGGUCUUGAUAGCUUUAAUCUUUAUGAGGCUGACUUGGUCAUGUCAGACACACGGUAAACUUUACUACUAAAAAUGAUUGAGGCAUAAUCACUAACUUUUAGAUCUAACUAUCCUGAGUUAUGCCACACCAUGAAUGAAUAUUAUAGCUUUCUUGUUUAGUGGAAUGUAGGGCUGCAAACUAUCCGAGCUGCUCACGAGCUGCUCUGGGGCUCGGCUGAGUUAGUAAAUGAGCUGAGCACAAACACUUUUUUAGAGCUUUGUUCAUAAACAAGUCGAGCCUGAACAUGAGCUGGUCUACAAAACCGGGUGGGGGGGAGGGGGGGUGCGGCAAACUAGGCUUAUGUAGGACAAGGUUAGUUUGGAGCUUAUACAUGCCAAGCUUGAACUACUGAGGUAAUGCUUGGCUUGAGCUUGAGCCGAGCUCGAGCAACUCAGGUUUAUACUGAGUCUAGCUCGAGCAGCCAGAUAGUUGGCUCAGCUUGUUUGCACCCUUAGUCAAAUGGUUGUUAAAUCAUUUUAUAUUCCUUUUUUUGAUUCAGACUGCAAUAAAUUUUUCUGUCUUCAAAACACCAAGUCACAUGACCGAUUUGGCUAAUUAAACAAAUAUACCUAACAUUGCAAGAUUUUAUUUUUUUGAUAUUCCAGUGAAUAAGCUUCUAUGGUAGCUUUCUACAUCAGGAACCUGAAUGCAUGAGAAAUGUGCAAAGCAGCAUCGGGAUGCAAUUGAAGGUUGCACCGGUGCACAGACCUGGAGAAUGCUUCUGGAAAUGAAUGCUGCAUCUGUAAUUAUUGCACAAGUUCAUUAAAUUCAUUAGACUGCCAGAUUAAAGUGCCUGUAGAUGCUGAAGCCACUGAAAACACCUCCAGUACAGCGUCGAUAGAGUGGUUUCCAGAUAAAGCUUCCAGGUCUGAAGACGGGCUAGAUAAAGAAUGGGAGCAAGGAUAGUUAAUCCAAAAUCAGCAUGUUACAGUAUUGUUGUCAUGGAAAGUCUCAUUGCAGAAUUGGUAGAUCCAGCUCAGUAUAAACAACCUGCAUUUGAAGAACAUGAUAUGAUUUUACCAACAAAAAACAUGGCAUGAUAAUCAGCAAGGCUGUUGGUAAAUGAUGAAAUAUUAUCUUUUUUGUCUGCAUGUACAUGUACUGCUGUACAAAUGACAUUUUAAUUAAAAGGUAAAAUUGGAUUUAACAGACUGAAGUGUAAGAUUUUAUAUGGAUUUGUGUUGGGUCGAUGGUGUAAAUUUGCUCUUCUUCACUAAGAAUUCUUUCUAUUGAAUGGAAAAUUUCUUGCAAGAA